AGACCAUAAUGUGGACAACUCCUCAACAAAUUCUUGAACCAUUCCAACAAUCAUACAAAGUUUCAUUCACUUGUUGAAGAAACCCUGCUAUAACAUUUCUCAACUU
Ricinus communis (castor bean) is the source of this 106-nucleotide non-coding RNA. The record is from Rfam. NCBI's taxonomy places the organism in Eukaryota, Viridiplantae, Streptophyta, Magnoliopsida, Malpighiales, Euphorbiaceae.